UGUACCUACGGGACGCAGCAGUGGGGAAUAUUGCGCAAUGGGCGAAAGCCUGACGCAGCGACGCCGCGUGAGCGAUGAAGUAUUUCGGUAUGUAAAGCUCUAUCAGCAGGGAAGAAAAUGACGGUACCUGACUAAGAAGCCCCGGCUAACUACGUGCCAGCAGCCGCGGUAAUACGUAGGGGGCAAGCGUUAUCCGGAUUUACUGGGUGUAAAGGGAGCGUAGACGGCUUGGCAAGCCAGAUGUGAAAGGCUGGGGCUCACCCCCAGGACUGCAUUUGGAACUGUCAUGCUAGAGUGUCGGAGAG
RNAcentral lists this ribosomal RNA (305 nucleotides) under uncultured bacterium. RNAcentral describes it as "bacterial SSU rRNA". It matches the Rfam family "Bacterial small subunit ribosomal RNA", at positions 335 to 656 of the family's 1533-position model. The record is from RNAcentral.